RNAcentral lists this ribosomal RNA (450 nucleotides) under uncultured bacterium. RNAcentral's name for it is "partial 16S ribosomal RNA". It matches the Rfam family "Bacterial small subunit ribosomal RNA", at positions 28 to 507 of the family's 1533-position model. The record is from RNAcentral.
GAUGAACGCUGGCGGCGUGCCUAACACAUGCAAGUCGAGCGGCAGCGAGGGGUGCUUGCACCCUGUCGGCGAGCGGCGGACGGCUGAGUAACGCGUGGGAACGUGCCCCAAAGUGAGGAAUAACUGCCCGAAAGGGUAGCUAAUACCGCAUAUUAUCUUCGGAUCAAAGGAUUUAUCCGCUUUGGGAGCGGCUCGCGUCGGAUUAGGUAGUUGGUGAGGUAAUGGCUCACCAAGCCGACGAUCCGUAGCUGGUCUGAGAGGAUGACCAGCCAGACUGGAACUGAGACACGGUCCAGACUCCUACGGGAGGCAGCAGUGAGGAAUCUUCCACAAUGGCGAAAGCCUGAUGGAGCAACGCCGCGUGCAGGACGAAGGCCUUCGGGUUGUAAACUGCUUUUAUAAGUGAGGAAUAUGACGGUAACUUAUGAAUAAGGAGCGGCUAACUACGUG